AACGAACGCUGGCGGCAUGCCUAACACAUGCAAGUCGAACGAGACCGUCGGGUCUAGUGGCGCAGGGGUGCGUAACGCGUGGGAACUUGCCCGUGGGUUCGGAAUAACUCCCCGAAAGGGGUGCUAAUACAGGAGAAUGUCAUAGGACCAAGGAUUUAUGGCCACUGGGUGGGGCCGCGUUGGAUUAGCUGGUUGGUAGGGUAAAAGCAUACCAAGGCGACGAUGCAUAGCUGGUGGGAGAGGAUGACCAGCCACGCUGGGAGUGAGACACGGACCAGACUCGUACGGGAGGGAGCAGUAGGGUAUAUUAGGCGAUGAGCGCAGGUCUGAUCCAGCAAUGUCGCGUGAGUGAUGCAGGGCUUAGGAUUGUAAAGCUCUUUUACCCGGGGUGAUAGUGACAGUACCGGGAGAAUAAGCUCCGGCUAACUACGUG
RNAcentral lists this ribosomal RNA (433 nucleotides) under uncultured bacterium. RNAcentral describes it as "partial 16S ribosomal RNA". It matches the Rfam family "Bacterial small subunit ribosomal RNA", at positions 29 to 507 of the family's 1533-position model. The record is from RNAcentral.